This 898-nucleotide ribosomal RNA is filed under the name uncultured bacterium. Its description in RNAcentral is "bacterial SSU rRNA". It matches the Rfam family "Bacterial small subunit ribosomal RNA", at positions 1 to 920 of the family's 1533-position model. The record is from RNAcentral.
UAGAGUUUGAUCCAUGGCUCAGGACGAACGCUGGCGGCGUGCUUAACACAUGCAAGUCGAGCGGAAAGGACCUUCGGGGUACUCGAGCGGCGAACGGGUGAGUAACACGUGAGCAACCUGCCCUAGGCUUUGGGAUAAGGCCGGGAAACCGGGGCUAAUACCGAAUAGGACCUCUGACCGCAUGGUUGGUGGUGGAAAGUUUUUCGGCCUGGGAUGGGCUCGCGGCCUAUCAGCUUGUUGGUGGGGUGAUGGCCUACCAAGGCGACGACGGGUAGCCGGCCUGAGAGGGCGACCGGCCACACUGGGACUGAGACACGGCCCAGACUCCUACGGGAGGCAGCAGUGGGGAAUAUUGCACAAUGGGCGGAAGCCUGAUGCAGCGACGCCGCGUGAGGGAUGACGGCCUUCGGGUUGUAAACCUCUUUCAGCAGGGACGAAGCGUAAGUGACGGUACCUGCAGAAGAAGCGCCGGCCAACUACGUGCCAGCAGCCGCGGUAAGACGUAGGGCGCGAGCGUUGUCCGGAUUUAUUGGGCGUAAAGAGCUCGUAGGCGGCUUGUCGCGUCGACUGUGAAAACCCGCAGCUCAACUGCGGGCCUGCAGUCGAUACGGGCAGGCUAGAGUUCGGUAGGGGAGACUGGAAUUCCUGGUGUAGCGGUGAAAUGCGCAGAUAUCAGGAGGAACACCGGUGGCGAAGGCGGGUCUCUGGGCCGAUACUGACGCUGAGGAGCGAAAGCGUGGGGAGCGAACAGGAUUAGAUACCCUGGUAGUCCACGCUGUAAACGUUGGGCGCUAGGUGUGGGGGGCCUCUCCGGUUCCCUGUGCCGCAGCUAACGCAUUAAGCGCCCCGCCUGGGGAGUACGGCCGCAAGGCUAAAACUCAAAGGAAUUGACGGGGGC